AUUGAACGCUGGCGGCAGGCCUAACACAUGCAAGUCGAGCGGCAGCGGGUAGAAAGCUUGCUUUCUGUGCCGGCGAGCGGCGGACGGGUGAGUAAUACCUAGGAAUCUGUCCAUUAGUGGGGAAUAACCAGCCGAAAGGUUGGCUAAUACCGCAUACGCACUACGGGGGAAAGGGGGGGAUCUCCGGACCUCUCGCUAAUGGGGGAGCCUAGGCCGGAUUAGCUAGUUGGUAGGGUAAAGGCCUACCAAGGCGACGAUCCGUAGUUGGUCUGGGAGGAUGACCAGCCACACUGGGACUGAGACACGGCCCAGACUCCUACGGGAGGCAGCAGUGGGGAAUAUUGCACAAUGGGCGAAAGCCUGAUGCAGCCAUGCCGCGUGUGUGAAGAAGGCCUUCGGGUUGUAAAGCACUUUAGGCGGGGAGGAAAAGCUAACGAUUAAUACUUGUUAGCCGUGACGUUACCCGCAGAAUAAGCACCGGCUAACUCCGCGCCAGCCGCCGCAGUAA
This 508-nucleotide ribosomal RNA is filed under the name uncultured bacterium. RNAcentral describes it as "partial 16S ribosomal RNA". It matches the Rfam family "Bacterial small subunit ribosomal RNA", at positions 29 to 523 of the family's 1533-position model. The record is from RNAcentral.